This 429-nucleotide ribosomal RNA is filed under the name Chloroflexota bacterium. Its description in RNAcentral is "Chloroflexi bacterium partial 16S ribosomal RNA". It matches the Rfam family "Bacterial small subunit ribosomal RNA", at positions 355 to 776 of the family's 1533-position model. Lineage: Bacteria; Bacillati; Chloroflexota. RNAcentral also lists the same sequence under 1 other name. The record is from RNAcentral.
UAGGGAAUCUUCGGCAAUGGACGAAAGUCUGACCGAGCAACGCCGCGUGAGUGAAGAAGGUUUUCGGAUCGUAAAACUCUGUUGUUAGAGAAGAACAAGGACGUUAGUAACUGAACGUCCCCUGACGGUAUCUAACCAGAAAGCUACGGCUAACUACGUGCCAGCAGCCGCGGUAAUACGUAGGUGGCAAGCGUUGUCCGGAUUUAUUGGGCGUAAAGCGAGCGCAGGCGGUUUCUUAAGUCUGAUGUGAAAGCCCCCGGCUCAACCGGGGAGGGUCAUUGGAAACUGGGAGACUUGAGUGCAGAAGAGGAGAGUGGAAUUCCAUGUGUAGCGGUGAAAUGCGUAGAUAUAUGGAGGAACACCAGUGGCGAAGGCGGCUCUCUGGUCUGUAACUGACGCUGAGGCUCGAAAGCGUGGGGAGCAAACAGG